Molecule: ribosomal RNA, 358 nt
Filed under: uncultured bacterium
Lineage: Bacteria
Description: partial 16S ribosomal RNA
Rfam family: Bacterial small subunit ribosomal RNA
Source: RNAcentral
CCUACGGGUGGCAGCAGUGGGGAAUAUUGGGCAAUGGGCGCAAGCCUGACCCAGCAACGCCGCGUGAAGGAAGAAGGCUUUCGGGUUGUAAACUUCUUUUCUCAGGGACGAAGCAAGUGACGGUACCUGAGGAAUAAGCCACGGCUAACUACGUGCCAGCAGCCGCGGUAAUACGUCGGUGGCAAGCGUUAUCCGGAUUUACUGGGUGUACAGGGCGUGUAGGCGGGACUGCAAGUCAGAUGUGAAAACCAGGGGCUCAACCUCUGGCCUGCAUUUGAAACUGUAGUUCUUGAGUACGGGAGAGGCAGGCGGAAUGCCUAGUGUAGCGGUGAAAUGCGUAGAUAUUAGGCGGAACCCC